RNAcentral lists this ribosomal RNA (451 nucleotides) under uncultured bacterium. Its description in RNAcentral is "partial 16S ribosomal RNA". It matches the Rfam family "Bacterial small subunit ribosomal RNA", at positions 354 to 796 of the family's 1533-position model. The record is from RNAcentral.
GUGGGGAAUAUUGGACAAUGGGGGGAACCCUGAUCCAGCCAUGCCGCGUGUGUGAAGAAGGCCUUUUGGUUGUAAAGCACUUUAAGCGAGGAGGAGGCUACCGAGAUUAAUACUCUUGGAUAGUGGACGUUACUCGCAGAAUAAGCACCGGCUAACUCUGUGCCAGCAGCCGCGGUAAUACAGAGGGUGCAAGCGUUAAUCGGAUUUACUGGGCGUAAAGCGCGCGUAGGUGGCCAAUUAAGUCAAAUGUGAAAUCCCCGAGCUUAACUUGGGAAUUGCAUUCGAUACUGGUUGGCUAGAGUAUGGGAGAGGAUGGUAGAAUUCCAGGUGUAGCGGUGAAAUGCGUAGAGAUCUGGAGGAAUACCGAUGGCGAAGGCAGCCAUCUGGCCUAAUACUGACACUGAGGUGCGAAAGCAUGGGGAGCAUACAGGAUUAGAAACCCCAGUAGUCC